Molecule: long non-coding RNA, 4262 nt
Organism: Passer domesticus (house sparrow)
Lineage: Eukaryota; Metazoa; Chordata; Aves; Passeriformes; Passeridae
Exons: 3
Source: RefSeq, a predicted model, not a curated record
GGAUUAUUUAUAUUAAUGUUCUCAAAAGGAGAAUUAAGUGAAACAGACUAAACAUCCUUGUCUUAUAGGAUGAAGAAUGACUGAAAGUACGAGUAUCGUUCUCUUCUAAAUCAUAACUACUGGCAGCUGUAACAGUGUUAUAUUCUGCAGUUGUUAUAUUAAGUAUAUUAUUAUUUCCAAAGGUAGAUUGGAAAUCUUCUACUUCAGAAUGUGUAGAUAAUGUCGCCUUACUCUCAGAGGUAAAUGAAAAUGCAGUUCUGUUAGACAGGAUCUUUUCUUCAGAGGCUUCUAUGUUAGAAAGUGAAUUUGAGGAUAUCUGAAUGCAAAUAUCUUCUGAAAUGCAAGCAUGGAGGUAAUGGAUGUCAUUUAUAUCAGCUCUAGGUUCACAGCUGUGCCCUGCAUAACAAUGGCAAUCAAAUUUUUCUAUGAAUGUUUGCAGAUCCUGAUAUGAUGGCUGCCCUUGUAAAGUGUAUUUUCCAUCCUUUGUCAUUUGAAUUGCAAUAUUCUCAGGGUUCAAGUGAAGAUAGUCACUGGAAUUCCAUUUUUUCCGUGCACAAGCACCAGAGUCUUGGCAUAGCACUUGGCUACAUAUUCUGGCUGCCAUUGUGACGUUGAUGAGGUAUGGGGUCAAAGUCCUCCUAAGGUAGUUGUCCAGAGUUCUACAGGUGUUCUGUGAAAAGAGCAUUAUACCUCCACAGUUUAGUAUGGAAACCAUUACAAUGCUGUCAUUCUAAUAACAGUACCACAGUACAUAUCUAUAAAAGUUUCCUCUGAGGAUUUGAUAACAACUAUAAGUUGUUGUUAGAAGCAAGUUUAUCUGAGAAGCUGUUAUAAAAUUUGAGGAUCUUAGCAAAUUUGUGUUGUGUAGUUGCUGGAGAUGUUACAAAAAGCAGUUAGAUCAGAAAUCAAUUGUCUUUAAGCUUUCAUUUAAUCUCGAUAUUUCAUGUAGCUUUUUGAAUCAGAUGUAUUUAAAGAAGUUUCAUGAAGACUUGAAGUUCCUUUUUAAGUCUUAAAUAGUUUGAAUGCAUCUGGGAAAAAAACUCAUGCUUCUUCAGUCUAAACAAAUGCUCUUCCUAUCAAGUAGUCUCUGAGACUUUUCAGCUUUCCCCUGACCUAAACAGCUUGGCUACAGGGUAGGGACCUUUCAUGGCAUUUUUAAAUGAAAAGAAUUGUGGUUGGAUGGUCAAAUUGAAGGUAUGCUAAGACAAUUGAUCAUUCUAACUGAUCAUGAAAUGUUACAUGGCAUAUGUUCUGUGCAUUCUUGGCACAGUUUAAUAACCAGAAGGUAUGGAACUCUCUCUUUGUUUCUGACAUUAUGGACAUUUGGCCAAUACCACGUGUAGAUACACCUAAUAUUCGUACCUAUGGAGAUCACUUUGGUGAAUCUAAGAUGUAUGUAGGUUUUUUUGGUUUUCUUUUAGGUAUAUAUAAAAAUUAUAUCUACUUAAUAUAUACAAUUUCUAUAUUAUAUAUAGAAAUUUUGGUUGAUGGAGAAAUGAGGCUUACAGUAAUAUUUAAUUGCUGAAAUGCUAGUGACUGUGAAAGCUGUAAAAAAUCAGGUGCAAUUAGUGCACAAAUACAUAGUCUGACUGGGCUGGUGAGUUCUUUUUUUCUCACAGGAAUCUCAAAAUUAAGACAAUAAAAUUUGCUGCUCAUCUAUGUUCUGAUAUUGAGAUAAUAGGCAGAAAAGUUCCAGGUGCAACUGAUAUCCUUUCUCAAAGGCAGGCACAUACAAAAAAGUCAAGGUGGGAUGCUUUGGGGAAUAACAACCUUACAGAGCUGUGGAGCUGUAUUUGGCCAUGCUUUCUGUGACACGAGAUCUGGCAGAGAUGACGCAUUUUGGUUCAUUGCACUCAGAAGACUUCACAAGAGUCUUCCAUAAUAGCUUAAAUCUAACUUGCCUGGUUAUGAAUUAACUACCUGGAAAGAAUGAUGAGAACAUCCUUGUAACAGUUCUCAAACUAUGUAUUGCCCCUUCCUAAAACAAACUAGAGUUUUUUUCUUCUGACUCAGCUGUUUCAUACAAUGAAAUUAAUCAUAGUAUUUGCAAUACACAGAACAGGCUAGGGCUGAACUUUUACAGGCUGACUUCUCCCAUUGCUGCCAAGUUCACCACUCCAAAAAGCAGAAGGGUCUUCUAAAAAUUGUUCCAAGCAAGCCCACGUAAGUUUUUCUUUACCUCAUGACUAAAAUGAAAUGAAGAUAUAGGAAUUCUUUUGUAUACUAAUUGAACAAGUGCUAACCUGACUGUGGUUGUCAUAGUAACUUGUCCAGUUACCCAGAGUCACAGAACUGAGACAUUGAAGGAUUGAACUCUUGUUCUGUGUAGCCAGUGAUGACCUUAAUAAGCCUCAGAUAUGCUUGGGUUUUGACUACAAGAAGGUGCUGGCAAUAUGGAGUCAUCGUUUUAAAAGUAGAAGAUAUCACAAUUCCAGAAGCACCCAGCGCAGCAGAUUCUCCGAUGGUAUUUACCAGGUCAUCCUGAAAGAAAAUAGGCAAAGAAUCAUGCAAAUGUCUCCAGUUUUCCCAGUCAAUGACAGCCAAUCCAAGCUGUUCAUCUGAAGGAAUGUAGAACUGGAUGUCCUCUUUGGCUUUUUUUAAAUGAUUCUCCAGCAGUGAGAGUUGAGGGAGUCCUCCAUUGAAUGCCUCUCCUGUGACUUCAUUUUUGUAAGGGUAGUAGCCAAGCCUGUCUGGAUAGAAGAGAGUGAUGUUUUGCCCAAUGGAUGUCUUUAGUGUGCUUCCAAUUAGAGGAAAAAAAUUCAUGUCCAGCUGCACUCCAGUCCUUUCAGUACAAAGUUCUGUAGGAGCAUUCCAGAUAGAAAGGAAAGGUGAAUUAGAAACAAGUGGACGAGCUCUUAUGUUCAGAGAUGAGCAGCAAGAAACUAGAAGAGUGGCAAACACCACACCAGAUGCUACAGGAUAUGUACAGGUAACACAGAUGCCAAAACUUUGCAUUUGUCUUAGAGUUUCCAUUGUAGCAUGUGCAGUUACAUUAGGUGCUUCUGAUCAGACAAAAAUUAAAUGCUCUCUGGGUGUUCAGAAGGUUGGUAGUCUGUCAAAAACUUUAUUGUAAAAUAUAUUUCUUCAGAUUAAUACCUAUUAAAGCAAUAUUUCUUGGGUGUGAAAUAGGGGUGUCUUUUUUACAAGGCUCUGUGUCAUUUCAGGCUGCAGGAAACUUUUCAACAACUUCUCAGACCUAAUGCAGAAAAAGAAGCAAAUGUGAAGUAAGAAAUUAUAAAUAUUUAAUUUAUAACCUUGAAACAAGUACCAUUUCUGAUUUUGAAUAUAUUGUAAUGCUUGAAUACAUUUGCCCUUUGAAGGAAAAGACGUUUUACAACCAUAGAGAAAUAAACUGUACUAUUCCACUGUCAGUUUUAUGCCUAAAACUUAGAUUUAAAAAACCUAGAUUUAAAACAGGCAGUGGAACAGUAUUCAGUGGCUCAUAGAUCAGAGUGUGCUCAGUAGUACAGACUGUGUCAGUUACUGAUAUCUGUAAAAAUGAGCAAUUUCACAGUGACUUAUCUUAAUCAACAGCAAUGUAUAUAUAAUAUUUCUCACCUACAUAAAAAUAAAAUUCUGAUUCUUUGUUAAUUUUACAGAGCGCUUACAGGAAGAUACAGGAUAGUAUAAAACAAACAUGGGCUGUUUUACACUUGUAAAAAAGCAAUCGAUGGAUGCUCAUUUAACUCAAUGCAGUAUCUGAAAUAUUGUAGGCCCUCUAUCUUCUGUCCAAGCCUCUUUUAAACAGGUUCAAACACCUUUGUAUCACUUUGGUAUAUGGCUGGCUAUAUGUUAUUUCAGGCCAUUUGAGAUGUACAGAUCAGGUGGCUCCAAAUCAAAGUCUGACCAGGGGUGCAGUUCAUUAGGAAAGCUGAGGCUGUCCAUACGCCCACGGUGAGCAGUCACAUUUCGUGGUGAUGCCUCAGUACAGGCGUCAGCACUUACAGAGAAUCCCACUAGCUAAAGCAUUCUCUGUGAAGUAACUCCUAAAUAUACAUUCCUUCUGAUUUUGAAAUGGUUCAAAUCUGAAUCAGUCACUUUCUGUAGAAGCCUCGUGAUGAGGCAAUAGAGUAUGUAAGGAUUAUAUAGGAGUGUACACAAAAGUACAGGGGGUCACCAUGAAGUGGGCCAUGGAGUGGCUGGCAAUGUAAAAUCUCUUUAGGACAGAUUCAAGAAAAUAAAAAGGGAAAUAAUAUUUACAUUUGUAUUUAUUUAAUUCAUCCAGGAGUGAAAUCUACAAAUUUUUGUAUAGAAUCAGCAGA